This 250-nucleotide long non-coding RNA is filed under the name Pelobates cultripes (western spadefoot toad). Lineage: Eukaryota; Metazoa; Chordata; Amphibia; Anura; Pelobatidae. The record is from RNAcentral.
GGCCGACGCAACUUCUUUUCUGGGAAAAUUAGGACUACCCAUUCCAGCCGAUAACCGUGCGCUUCCUGAGAGUGCCAGAGACCCGGCCACCAUCAACCCCUUUGUCCCACGCACCAGAGGGACACCACCACCCGUACAGUGACAGCCCAAACAGACACCUAUGGCUACACAAUCUAGCCCACGUUAGAAGGCUCUGGCCUCGAGCCACCCGGAGAUGACAUUGAUACACGAGGGAAACCUCGUACUCGGA